CCAGUCCAUUCCAAAGCGGUGGCGGAGGAUGAAGACAAGGGUAUCUCUGGCUGAGGGUAAUGAGAACUGAUCCAGUGUAACCGUUGGUUUAGCUGGGGAUUGGGCUUGCUUGGGGCAGUUGCUCUGGCUUGCCUCAAAAUCAAGCGUUGUGUGGAUUGGACUUUCAAGCAUGCAUUGGGGACGCAGGCUCUGCGCUAUGGCAAGCCCUUGACCGUCAUAGGUGCUUUGAUUGGGGUUUUCAGUCUAGCCAACAAGGCUGGGUUGAAGGACUUUGGGGCUGCAUUGGGGGG
RNAcentral lists this unclassified non-coding RNA (290 nucleotides) under Cantharellus anzutake. RNAcentral's name for it is "partial contains 5.8S rRNA and ITS2". The record is from RNAcentral. Lineage: Eukaryota; Fungi; Basidiomycota; Agaricomycetes; Cantharellales; Hydnaceae.